This 928-nucleotide ribosomal RNA is filed under the name Variovorax paradoxus. RNAcentral describes it as "partial 16S ribosomal RNA". It matches the Rfam family "Bacterial small subunit ribosomal RNA", at positions 61 to 984 of the family's 1533-position model. Lineage: Bacteria; Pseudomonadati; Pseudomonadota; Betaproteobacteria; Burkholderiales; Comamonadaceae. The record is from RNAcentral.
GUCGAACGGCAGCGCGGGAGCAAUCCUGGCGGCGAGUGGCGAACGGGUGAGUAAUACAUCGGAACGUGCCCAAUCGUGGGGGAUAACGCAGCGAAAGCUGUGCUAAUACCGCAUACGAUCUACGGAUGAAAGCAGGGGAUCGCAAGACCUUGCGCGAAUGGAGCGGCCGAUGGCAGAUUAGGUAGUUGGUGAGGUAAAGGCUCACCAAGCCUUCGAUCUGUAGCUGGUCUGAGAGGACGACCAGCCACACUGGGACUGAGACACGGCCCAGACUCCUACGGGAGGCAGCAGUGGGGAAUUUUGGACAAUGGGCGAAAGCCUGAUCCAGCCAUGCCGCGUGCAGGAUGAAGGCCUUCGGGUUGUAAACUGCUUUUGUACGGAACGAAACGGCCUUUUCUAAUAAAGAGGGCUAAUGACGGUACCGUAAGAAUAAGCACCGGCUAACUACGUGCCAGCAGCCGCGGUAAUACGUAGGGUGCAAGCGUUAAUCGGAAUUACUGGGCGUAAAGCGUGCGCAGGCGGUUAUGUAAGACAGUUGUGAAAUCCCCGGGCUCAACCUGGGAACUGCAUCUGUGACUGCAUAGCUAGAGUACGGUAGAGGGGGAUGGAAUUCCGCGUGUAGNNNNGAAAUGCGUANAUAUGCGGAGGAACACCGAUGGCGAAGGCAAUCCCCUGGACCUGUACUGACGCUCAUGCACGAAAGCGUGGGGAGCAAACNNGAUUAGAUACCCUGGUAGUCCACGCCCUAAACGAUGUCAACUGGUUGUUGGGUCUUCACUGACUCANUAACGAANCUAACGCGUGAAGUUGACCGCCUGGGGAGUACGGCCGCNANGUUGNAAACUCAANNGAAUUGACGGGGACCCNCACAAGCNGUGGAUGAUGUGNNUNAAUUCNAUGCANCGCGAAAAACCCUUACCCNCNUUGA